UGGGGAAUUUUACGCAAUGGGGGAAACCCUGACGUAGCGACACCGCGUGAGCGAAGAAGCCUUUUGGGGUGUAAAGCUCUGUCAGCUGGAACGAACGCAAUGACGGUACCAGCAGAGGAAGCAUCGGCUAACUACGUGCCAGCAGCCGCGGUAAGACGUAGGAUGCAAGCGUUGUCCGGAGUUACUGGGCGUAAAGGGCGUGCAGGUGGCGUCUUAAGUCUGUUGUGAAAGCGCCUGGCUUAACCGGGCGAGGCCAAUGGAGACUGAGAGGCUGGAGGACGGCGGAGGGGUGUGGAAUUCCGGGUGUAGUGGUGAAAUGCGUAGAGAUCCGGAGGAACACCAGAGGCGAAGGCGGCACUCUAAGCCGUACCUGACACUGAGACGCGACAGCACGGGGAGCAAACG
This 405-nucleotide ribosomal RNA is filed under the name uncultured bacterium. Its description in RNAcentral is "bacterial SSU rRNA". It matches the Rfam family "Bacterial small subunit ribosomal RNA", at positions 355 to 774 of the family's 1533-position model. The record is from RNAcentral.